Camelus dromedarius (Arabian camel) is the source of this 548-nucleotide long non-coding RNA. RefSeq lists it as uncharacterized. NCBI's taxonomy places the organism in Eukaryota, Metazoa, Chordata, Mammalia, Artiodactyla, Camelidae. The record is from RefSeq and is a predicted model, not a curated record. The transcript has 4 exons.
UCACCUAGACAUACAGUUGUAAGGUUUGAAAUUGAGAAUUACAAGUCCUCUCACAUUGUUCUUCUUUUUCAAGUACGUUUUGGUUACUGAGACCUCGAAUUCCCAUAUGAAUUGUAGCAGCAGCUAGUCAGUUUCUGCAGAGGAGCCCGCAGGGAUUGUGAUCGAGACCACGUUGAAUAUACGGAUCUUUCUGGGGAGCACUGCCAUUCCAAGAGCGCUGUCUUCUGAUCCAGCAAUGUGAUAAUGCUCUGGUUGCUGAAUGUGCCCUUUCCCCAGACUUGGUUUUGGAGUUAAGUCACCAUCAGUGGAGCCCUCUCUUUAAAAGAUGAAGAAAACAUUUGCUCCUUCUCCCUGGUUGGGGACUUGGAUGAGAUGAGAGUUCUACAUAUAGUUGGUUACAUUCUGUACCUGGAAAUUUCUACAAAAUUUCUUCCCACGUGCCCUCACCUCCAGUAGCAUCCAUCCAGACACCGGAACUGACACUGGCCGUGCUCAGAACUGCCUCAGCCCUGAAGACACAACUGACAAAUAGAAGGAGGCCACGCCCU